Molecule: ribosomal RNA, 253 nt
Filed under: uncultured bacterium
Lineage: Bacteria
Description: partial 16S ribosomal RNA
Rfam family: Bacterial small subunit ribosomal RNA
Source: RNAcentral
UACAGAGGGUGCGAGCGUUGUUCGGAAUUAUUGGGCGUAAAGCGCUGGUAGGUGGCUUGUUAAGUCGCGUGUGAAAUCUCCAGGCUCAACCUGGAAAGUGCGCGCGAAACUGGCGAGCUUGAGUGCCGGAGAGGGUCGCGGAAUUCCCAGUGUAGAGGUGAAAUUCGUAGAUAUUGGGAGGAACACCAGAGGCGAAGGCGGCGACCUGGAAGGUAACUGACACUGAGCAGCGAAAGCGUGGGGAGCAAACAGG